This 518-nucleotide ribosomal RNA is filed under the name Mantidactylus fergusoni. RNAcentral describes it as "partial large subunit ribosomal RNA". It matches the Rfam family "Bacterial large subunit ribosomal RNA", at positions 1906 to 2597 of the family's 2925-position model. Lineage: Eukaryota; Metazoa; Chordata; Amphibia; Anura; Mantellidae. The record is from RNAcentral.
CAGUGACAAAAUUCAACGGCCACGGUAUCCUGACCGCGCGAAGGUAGCAUAAUAACUCGUUCUUUAAAUGGGGACUUGAAUCAACGGCAUCACGAGGGUUACACUGUCUCCUUUUUCUAAUCAGUGAAACUAAUCUCCCCGUGAAGAAGCGAGGAUACCCAUAUAAGACGAGAAGACCCCAUGGAGCUUCAAACCCAAUUACACCCCCAACUUCUAUAACUACUGAACUUUAAGGGCCCUGUACAAUUGGUUUUAGGUUGGGGCGACCACGGAGUAUAACAAAACCUCCACAAUGAACGGAAUUAACUCCUCAUCUAAGAAAUACACCUCUAAGAAUUAAAAUAUUAACAUAAAAUGAUCCACUUUUUGAUCAAUGAACCAAGUUACCCUGGGGAUAACAGCGCAAUCCAUUUCAAGAGCCCCUAUCGACAAAUGGGUUUACGACCUCGAUGUUGGAUCAGGGUAUCCUAGUGGUGUAGCAGCUACUAAUGGUUCGUUGGUUCAACGAUUAAAACCCU